GGCGACGUAGCCAAGUGGUAAGGCCGGGCUCUGCAAAAGCCUUAUUCGCCGGUUCGAUUCCGGCCGUCGCCU
This 72-nucleotide transfer RNA is filed under the name Candidatus Sericytochromatia bacterium. It matches the Rfam family "tRNA". From Rfam's summary of the family: Transfer RNA (tRNA) molecules are approximately 80 nucleotides in length. Their secondary structure includes four short double-helical elements and three loops (D, anti-codon, and T loops). Lineage: Bacteria; Bacillati; Candidatus Sericytochromatia. The record is from Rfam by way of RNAcentral.